This 4075-nucleotide unclassified non-coding RNA is filed under the name Leishmania donovani. RNAcentral's name for it is "gene:LdHU3.36.1830(CDS-product:hypothetical_prote in_conserved)". The record is from RNAcentral. Lineage: Eukaryota; Euglenozoa; Kinetoplastea; Trypanosomatida; Trypanosomatidae.
GACCUCGUACGACGUGCGAUUCACCCGCGCGCACCUACGCUUGUGUGUGGGUGCGCGCUUCGCUCCGUUUCACUUGCCGUUGCUGCUUAGACGCCUUUUUUUUCUGUGUUGUUGUGCGUGUGCACGCCGAGCGAAGGCGCGCACGUUGCAGAGGGCAUCCCCUUUCUUCUGCUGCUUGCUUUGCACCGAAACUUGUAUUCAAGCUUACUACCUCUCUGCUGUCCACACUCGGAGCACAGUGGUAGCGCGACAACGGGUUGUACUUCUACAUAGAGUAGGCUACUGCUGGUCUGUUUUGCUGUUCGCCUUCUGUACACGAAGACUUUCUCUACCUGCGUGGCUGGCACCGGCGACGCACCACGACAACUGGUCUCGUCGCCGUCUUCCUUAGUUUAUUCUUUCCUUCAAGUGUGCUGCACUCUCCACAUCAUCGUCAAGGCUCUGCGUGACUCGUUAAGCCAUGAGGUUCUCUAUUGUUGGUGGUCCACUGGCAUCUACCAUUUCUCUUGAGGCGAAGCAGUCCGACAGCUUCGAGUCCAUCUUCAAGAAGGUCCAAGAAGCUGCUGGCAAGGCAACGCCGCUCGAUGCGUAUGACUUGUACACGACAAGGCGCUCGUCGCUGACCGGGGAGCUUGUCGCGGCUGCCGGCCCGCUACGCCCCACAGAUACCCCCUCGGCCCUUCAGCUGGACUUCGAACAGAGUGAUUCACACAUCCUCAUGCUGAUGCAAAGCGGUGCAGACGCCGAGCGUGGCAGUACGCAAAAUCAGCUCUUGUGCAGCACCGCCGCUGCAGGGGACGCUAGCAGGCUAGACGGCACCACCAUCGCCUCCACAUCGCCGUCUCUCAUGACCACGCCGCGGGCGACAGAUGAGUAUCGGCGCCGCAUGCGUGCCAUGUACAUCAAGUACGACCCUGGCCAGAUACACAAGGUCGAAGUGGCACUCGACCGUUACCGCGGCUACGAGGAAGACGUGCUGCAACAGCUGGUGAAAAGGUACGGGCCCGAGCCGGCUCUAGGGGAGGUCGAUCUGUCUCCCAAAGCCCUUGUUUUGCCGUCGUCCGGCCCCGACGCGCGUGAGAGCACGCAAUCGCACUCCGCUUCGGCAGACGAGGCCAAUCCACAUACGAAGCCGUCGUACUAUGAUCGACUUGUAGCCAUCUACUCCACGUACGAGCCGGCGAAGCUGAGCAAGGUUAAUGGGACGUUGAGGCGGUAUGCCGGUCGAGAGGAAGAGGUGAUCCAGCAGCUGGUGAAGAAAUACGGGCCAGAGCCCUCCACUGAGCGUGUGGCAACGACUAAGGUUCCGGAGGCGGCAAGGGAACAGCUUGCGCCAGCUUCUGGCGUGGGACGGCAGUUGACGUCAUCAGCGACUCAUGCAGAAGCUUCGGCACAUGCAAGUCCGGCAGUGCCCGCUGUCGAGAAACAGGUGGCGGCUGUGCCCGAGGUCAAGGAAGGUGCCGCAGUGCCCCUCAUAACCACCGCGAAAGUUGUAGCAGCAACCAUACCCGCAGCCCCACCAGUGGCCAGCGCCUACGGCGACUCCACCGUCGGAACGCAGCUGCCAAAUACCGAUAGAAGGCCGCUGGCGACGGUGACGUCUCCACUGGACGGCUCGCUGCCUCGCCACACAGCUGCUUCCACAGCUGUAGCCCCACCAAACAAGGCGAGCGCUGCGGAAUCGAUGGCGAUCGGUGGUAACUACCGAGAGCGCCUAGUCGCUUUCUACAACGCGUACAACCCUGCGAAGCUGCACACGGUUGAUGGCACGCUGAAGAAGUUUUCUGGGAAGGAGGAGGUGGCAAUCCAGCAGCUCGUGCGACGCUACGGAGCGGAGCCGGCCCCACUGAACCGAGAGGAGGCUCACAGGCUGUUGACAACUGCGGGCGCUGGCGGUGUGUCCAACACACCACCAAGCGCCAGCCCAACAACCACGAAUGCUCCAGGCAGUGCCGCCUCGUCGGUGGGGCGGGUAGAAAGCAUACUGGAGACGUACAAAAGUGGCGAGGAGGAGGUCAUGGCGCAAUCGGAGGUGCGCUAUGCUGCCCAAUGCGCUAAGAACAUCGCUGGUGAGCCUACGACGAGCGGUGCGAGCUCCUCGGCGGAGUCGGGGAGCUUCGGCGCGAUGGUGGCCUUUGCGCAGGUCAGUGCGGCCGCACCGUCUAUUGCGGUGAGCGUCCCACCAAGUCAUUGGAACUCUGCGAGUGGCACCGCGAGUGCUUCGACACCGUCGACAGUAGCGAGCACCACGGCUGCUUCGCCUGUUAGUCCCGCGGUUGCUCUGGUGGCGACGCCACAAACGACACGAGUAGGAACUGUGGUGCCGGCAGCCGCUGCCGUGCCUCACACGCAGGAGAGCAAGGCAUCGCAAGGUGGACCGCCGCAACGGAAGGCGCUGCCGCUUGCUGCGCUGCGAGUGGCGGCGGCACACGUGGAAGGUACAGCUCACAUGUCGUUGCGAGAACGGUACUGGGCCAUUUGGAGGACGCACCACGCACAGAAGAGAGCGGCUGUGCUGUUGCAGCAGGAGCUCUGGGUGGAAGUGCCAGGCGGUGCUGCCGGUCGCUACCGCCUCAACGACUCCGUGGAGCCUGCGUACACAGUCGCGAACCUUUCGGUAGUGGUGGCCCAGGAGGAGGGAGGCGGUUGCAGCGCACAAGGCCGCGCCUUGACGAGCGAGCUGCAGAUUGCAAUGCGGGCUCUGCUAGCAUCGCUGCGGCACUGCGUCGAGUCGCGAGUGAUUCAGGCGCAGUCCAGCGAAGAGCAUCAACAGGCGGACGCGCUACUCACCCACUGGGCUGCCCCAGAGAACCUUUGCCCGGUCACCGACUCUCCCGAGCUGGCAUGCGCUCUGCAUCAGGCUGCGCACCUUAUCGGCAAGCUGGAGGACCUCGUAACCGUGAUUCGCACGCAGGCGGGGCAGCUGCGCCAGCUAAAGGCGCUCCAUCGGGAUGUACUGGAGCGUAUGGAGCACGCUCACGCCAACACCCAGGCGCUGGGCAGGCUUCAAGCGCAGCUGAGCGCUGCGAACAAUGACCGCCGUGCACUGGAGCAGGAGCUGAAGCGCAUCUCUGCCGGCGGGGCGGAAAGCCACGCUCGUCCGGCAGCGUUGUGUCGUCUCUACCCUACUGCGGAGGAACGCAAAGAUGCCCAGAUCGCCAAACUUCAGCAAGAGCUGGCCAAAACACGCAACUUACUCUUCUUGUCCAAAGAGGCAGAGGAUAAGCUAAAGGUGCAGCUGCAGCUGAGUCACACUCGAGAAGCUCGCCGAAAGCACGAAGAGUGGCAUCGACAGGGAAAGAGUAGCCGGUACAGCAUCUCUGACCGGGCGUACGCACAGCCACGCAGUCGAUCCGCGAGAGCCGGUAGUGGCGCUCAUUCGUCGCCGUCGAACUCACCGUAUCGGCGCUACACGCCAGUGUCCACCCCGCGCGGCGCGUUCUCGUACGCCAUUGCUCAUGACACCCCGCGUGGCCCGUCGACCUUGCAGGUGCACGUGAACGGACACCCUGUCUCCUCGAUUCGUAGGCCGGAUGCGGCCACCGCCGAGCAGGAUCGCACAAGCAUCUCAGUCAACAGUAGCACGCCGUGGCCCUCGUCGCGCUACGUCAUGACGCCAACGGAGGUGGAACGAGGGCCAUGUCCCAACUGCCUUACCCCGCUGACCUCCUGCUGCCGUGAGGAGAGCGGCACCUCGUCGGAGAAGGCAGCGUUUUGCUUCAGCUGUCGCCGUUACUUCACCUUUGGAGAACUGUGGACGCGCGAUGCACGUGAGGUUAUGGGACAGCUGUAGAAUGGUAUCUUGGGCGCUGUCAGGGUGGGAUUGGACAAGGAGGGGGGGUGCGCCGGAGGACGGUUGCAGCACAAGACCCAGAAAAGCAUCGAUCGCAGGACGCAAUCGCGCGCAGGUUGCACUGACGCUCUCUGCUUUUUCUCUCUGAUGCCCAUUCGCUUCGUCGUGGGGAGCCGGUGAUGUACUUCUCUUUGUCGCUUGCGAUAUACGUGUCUUCCUCUCUGCGCCCCGUGUGGGUGUACGUGACAUUCACGGGCGUGUACACUUCUUUGAACGACAAAG